This 2882-nucleotide long non-coding RNA is filed under the name Daucus carota (carrot). RNAcentral's name for it is "long non-coding RNA (DCAR_LNC006266)". The record is from RNAcentral. Lineage: Eukaryota; Viridiplantae; Streptophyta; Magnoliopsida; Apiales; Apiaceae.
CACUCUUUGUUUUCUUCACCAUAAUAAUCUUGCAUGAGUAUGUGAUGUGCUCUGCCAUAUCAUUCCAACAAGAUCUUGGGCGGCUGAAAAGAAGCCCAUCUCCAUCAAGAAGAUUACUUGCUGCAGAAACUUCAUUUCCUGUAAAUGAUCUCAACAAGGUGAGAGCUGGUUUUAAGGAAACUGUGACGUCAGCAGAAGCCAGCUUACGGAAGCGGCCGCCUAGCUCUUCAAACCCUACUCAAAAUUAGUUUGUCUUCAUAGCCCUUGUUUAAAGAUGACAGAUGAUGAAGAAAGAACUGAUCAAGUUGCUUUAUUUUAGUUUUGUUCCUUGUUUCUUAUACAUAUUUUUUGUUAUUGUGAAACACAAUAGUUUGACUUGUGAAGUGUACAGAUGUUAUUUCUGUCAUAGCCAAAGAGUAGAAGCUCAGGUGAAGCUCCCUGGUUAAAAGAUCACCCUUCUUACCAUAUUUUAAGCUUUGUAAUUCAGUAUGCUACACUUCUGUGAGCACCAUUACCAUUACAUAACACAAGUGAUGGGUUUACCUCUGUUGUGUAGGGUCAUGGGGUUCAACCCUGAUUCACCUACACAAGUAUAUAGAUAUACUCAUUUGUAACGUAUAUAAGCUCAAAUCAUGAAAAAAUAUUAGAAUUUACUUCCUGUUUAUUAAAAUAUCAUUUUUAAAUGAAUUAGGCAGUAAGGAUUUUUCUAGUCCCUCUGCCAAUUUCAUUUCUUAAUUUCGACUCGGUCUGAUUUUUAUUAUUGCUUUUAAUUAAAAAGGUUUCAAAACUAAUGCUUCAUUUAUAAAUGUCAUUUAAAAUUAUUGUGAUGUGGGAAUAAGUGCAUNCCUUGAUGGUUAAAAUGUAUUUAAGCUUUUUGUAAAUGCUGACAUAUGAAUGCUAGUAAAUUGAGAGACCAUGUGUCGGGACUGACACCCCUAAAUUUUCAAAUUACUUAUAUUUUUGUUCGGAAAUCAGGACGGUAAUUUUUUUUUAAAAUUAGGGGGUCUCCUGUGCCCCUUAUUAGAUCCCCUGCUUGGGACUCUGAAAAAUCUAAAUCACGGCAAGAUUUACAUCGCAUAUAGAAGAUGCUGACUAAGCAGCCGUGGAGUUGAUUAAGAAAAACCAAAAGCUGCACAGGAAAAACAUAGGGGCCGUUUAGGCAAAUUUAAAAAAAGUGAUUUCGUGCUUAAAGAGUAAAGAAGUGGAUUAGUAGUGAGAAGUAAAUAAAUUAAUAAAAUAAUUGAAAAAGAAGCAUAAACUCUGAAACUCUAAGAGAGAAGUAGCAUUCUCAGCUUCUGAAAAAUGCUUCUACUAUUUAUUUACAGAAGCCAGAAUCAGCUCCUGCUUCUCGAAUACAAACACGCUCAUAGACUACUUUUUUGUCACCGUGUUGUAGAAGGUAGGAAUUAGUUGUUACACUAUCACCAAAUCUGAGUACACAGCUAUGUUAAGCUGUGCUGGUUCAACUUAUUAGAGAUGCAUGCAUGCUAUAUAAUAUAAUAAAUCUACUUGGUACUCCCUCCGUCCCAAAAAGCUUUUCUCGUUUGAUAUGUCGGGACUGUUCAUAACAUGAGAUAAAUGAUUAAUUUACGUCUAAUCUAUAAGACUAAAUAUAGUCAUGAGUGAUCUUGUUGGUUUCGUAUUUACGAGUACUUUAAUACAGUGAAAUUUUUAUAUUUAAUACUAAUAUAAAAUUAAAGAUAUUAAUGAUCAAAAGUGUGUGUUGGCAAACGUGAAAAGGAGAAACAGGAAAAGUAUUUAGGGACGGAGGGAGUACGUUUUAUUAUACAGGAAAGGACGCAAAAGAAGACUGGCUUAUGUGGCUUCAUGUGAUAACCUCACAUGAGACACGUUCGCUAAUCUCUGAGGAUUGUUUCGAAGUUAGACAAGUAUUAUAAUCAAUCUGGCUAACAUGACAUAAUAAGCUUCUUCCUCGUUCCAACAUGCUACAAACAAGAUUUAAACAAAAUUUUUCAGGAGAACAAAUCUCAUUGUGAAUAAACGCGUUACAUAUGCAGAUAUAUAUGCUGCAUCAUUGAAUUGGGCUGCCACAUGGACCUUUUUACAAAAAUAUACUAGUCGGGUCACACUCAUUUAUAUACAGUUUUUUUUAUUACUCGAUACGUAUUAUAUGAAUUUUAUGAAAUACAAUUCUAUAAUUUAUUUUUAAAUAGAAAAUUAAAUAUUAUAUUUUUAUUUAAAAGAAAAAUAAUUAAAAUAAAUUAUGAAAUUAUAUUUAUAAGAGAUCUUAAAAUAGGUGAUCAACCUACAGUUGUGGUGAGCACGAGUUCAAGUGAUGAGUUUAUCGUCUGUUGUCCUUUUACACUCGAGUUCGACUCUGACUCAGUGCGGAAAAAAAGAGAGGAAAAGACAGAUAUGGUAAUGUUGACUGGAUCACACACUAAACUUUCCACUAUUUUGCCUAGUAUAAUACUCCAUGAAUUUGAUUAAGUGUACAUCUUCACAUGUUUUGUCAGGCUCAAGCACUAGCUACAACUCCUAACCAUGUUUGCAUUUGCUUUAUAAGAGAUUCUCACAUGAAAAGAACCCUCAACUUCUCUCCAGGUCCAUCACACAGCUUCAGAUAUUCACAAAUGAGAAACAGCAUGAGAACACUCUUUGUUUUCUUCACCAUAAUAAUCUUGCAUGAGUAUGUGAUGUGCUCUGCCAUAUCAUUCCAACAAGAUCUUGGGCGGCUGAAAAGAAGCCCAUCUCCAUCAAGAAGAUUACUUGCUGCAGAAACUUCAUUUCCUGUAAAUGAUCUCAACAAGGUGAGAGCUGGUUUUAAGGAAACUGUGACGUCAGCAGAAGCCAGCUUACGGAAGCGGCCGCCUAGCUCUUCAAACCCUACUCAAAAUUAGUUUGUCUUCAUAGCCCUUGUU